UCCAGUAGUAAACUCACAUUUCUUUAUUGCUUUAAGAUUUAUAAAGUUGGUAGUACAAAUAUUGUUGCCGUCUUGCAGAUGAAGAAACUGAGGAUCAGAGAGACAGUGUCUUGCCAUAUGGUCACAGCAUCUAAUGAAUGUCAAAACUAGGAUUUGAAUUCAAGUCUUUCUUGAUUCAGUCCAGUAUUCAUUCUACUGCUUCAUGCUGCCUUUCUGUGAUCUCUUGGGUAUGAUGAAGAAUGGGAUCUGUAAAAGAUCUGUAGAAUGAAGACAGCAAGUCAAAACAGAGAAUGACCAUAACUGGAGGAAGUAAAGAAUGAGGAAAUGGUCAAGAUUUGAGGGUAGGAGGAAACAAGCUCUGUAACCUAUAUUCAGAGGCCUUGAUAGCUGGCAGACCAGACCACUUGUAGAAAGGAUCUUCACUGAAGUGAUUAAGUACCUCUCAGCAGGGAGUUUCAUUAACACUGGAGGGGAGCAAAGAAGAAGAGGUUAUUUUUUCCUUUCCCAACAAGGGUAUCAUGAAAGGUGGCAGAAGGGACAAGCUGUGACAUCUGCUCUCUGCAGGUGGGUUGAAAGUCUCCAUCCAUGGGGUUUUGUGAAGGAAAGGGAUGUAUG
This 615-nucleotide long non-coding RNA is filed under the name Phascolarctos cinereus (koala). Its description in RNAcentral is "lncRNA (ENSPCIG00000032501.1)". Lineage: Eukaryota; Metazoa; Chordata; Mammalia; Diprotodontia; Phascolarctidae. The record is from RNAcentral.